RNAcentral lists this long non-coding RNA (1367 nucleotides) under Citrus x clementina. RNAcentral describes it as "Citrus clementina (C. clementina) long non-coding RNA (CCLE_LNC000647)". Lineage: Eukaryota; Viridiplantae; Streptophyta; Magnoliopsida; Sapindales; Rutaceae. The record is from RNAcentral.
UUUUGGUACACGGAGGCCGUUCGCAAAGUCUCGCGCCAUUCUGAGUCCGGCGGAAGAAGUCGGCCAGCCCCACCCCCCAAGGAUAUAGCCCACCCGUUUUCGUGGCCUUUUUCCGUUGGACGAACUUGGCGUCCCGGACUUCGGGCGGUUAUUUUUGGGCGCGGCCGUGCCCGCGGCCUAUUUUUGGCACACGGAGACCGCUCGCAAAGUCUCGUGCCAUUCCGAGUCCGGCGGACGAAGUCGGCCAGCCCCACCCCCGAAGGCUAUAGCCCACCCGUUUUUGUGGCCUUUUUCCGCUGGACGAACUUGGCGCCCCGGACUUUGGGCGGUUAUUUUUGGGCGCGGCCGUGUCCGCGGUCUAUUUUUUGCACACGGAGGCCGCUCGUAGAGUCUCGCGCCAUUCCGAGUCCGGCGGACGAAGUCGGCCCGCCCCACCCCCCAAGGCUAUAGCCCACCCGUUUUUGUGGACUUUUUCCGCUGGACGAACUUGGCGCCCCGGACUUCGGGCGGUUAUUUUUGGGCGAGGCCUUGCCCGCGGCCUAUAUUUGGCACACGGAGGCCACUCGCAAAGUCUCGCGCCAUUCCGAGUCCGGCGGACGAAGUCCGUCAGCCCCACCCCCAAAGGCUAUAGCCCACCCGUUUUUGUGGCCUUUUUCCGCUGGACGAACUUGGCGCCCCGGACUUCGUGCGGUUAUUUUUGGGCACGGCCGUGCCCGCGGCCUAUUUUUGGUACACGGAGGCUGCUCGCAAAGUCUCGCGCCAUUCCGAGUCCGGCGGACGAAGUCGGCCAGCCCCACCCCCCAAGGCUAUAGCCCACCCGUUUUUGUGGCCUUUUUCCGCUGGACGAACUUGGCGCCCCGGACUUUGGGCGGUUAUUUUUGGGCGCGGCCGUGUCCGCGGUCUAUUUUUUGCACACGGAGGCCGCUCGUAGAGUCUCGCGCCAUUCCGAGUCCGGCGGACGAAGUCGGCCCGCCCCACCCCCCAAGGCUAUAGCCCACCCGUUUUUGUGGCCUUUUUCCGCUGGACGAACUUGGCGCCCCGGAUUUCGGGUAGUUAUUUUUGGGCGCGGCCGUGCCCGCGGCCCAUUUUUGGCACACGGAGGCCGCUCGCAAAGGCUCGCGCCAUUCCGAGUCCGGCGGACGAAGUCGGCCUGCCCCACCCCCCAAGGCUAUAUAGCCCACUCGUUUUUGUGGCCUUUUUCCGCUGGACGAACUUGGCGCCCUGGAUUUUGGGUAGUUAUUUUUGGGUGCGGCCGUGCCCGCGGCCUAUUUUUGGCACACGGAGGCCGCUCGCAAAGUCUCGCGUCAUUCCGAGUCCGGCGGACGAAGUCGGCCAGCCCCACCCCCGAAGGCUAUAGCCCACCCGUU